CCUACGGGAGGCAGCAGUAGGGAAUCUUCCACAAUGGGCGAAAGCCUGAUGGAGCAACGCCGCGUGGGUGAAGAAGGUCUUCGGAUCGUAAAACCCUGUUGUUAGAGAAGAAAGUGCGUGAGAGUAACUGUUCACGUUUCGACGGUAUCUAACCAGAAAGCCACGGCUAACUACGUGCCAGCAGCCGCGGUAAUACGUAGGUGGCAAGCGUUAUCCGGAUUUAUUGGGCGUAAAGGGAACGCGGGCGGUCUUUUAAGGCUGAUGUGAAAGCCUUCGGCUUAACCGGAGUAGUGCAUUGGAAACUGGGAGACUGGAGUGCAGAAGAGGAGAGUGGAACUCCAUGUGUAGCGGUGAAAUGCGUAGAUAUAUGGAAGAACCCCAGUGGCGAAAGCGGCUCUCUGGCUUGUAACUGACGCUGAGGUUCGAAAGCGUGGGUAGCAAACAGGAUUAGAUACCCGAGUAGUC
RNAcentral lists this ribosomal RNA (465 nucleotides) under uncultured bacterium. RNAcentral describes it as "partial 16S ribosomal RNA". It matches the Rfam family "Bacterial small subunit ribosomal RNA", at positions 338 to 795 of the family's 1533-position model. The record is from RNAcentral.